RNAcentral lists this ribosomal RNA (164 nucleotides) under uncultured bacterium. Its description in RNAcentral is "partial 16S rRNA". It matches the Rfam family "Bacterial small subunit ribosomal RNA", at positions 355 to 511 of the family's 1533-position model. The record is from RNAcentral.
UAGGGAAUCUUCCACAAUGGGCGAAAGCCUGAUGGAGCAACGCCGCGUGUGUGAUGAAGGGUUCCGGCUCGUAAAACACUGUUGUAAGAGAAGAACAAGGGUGAGAGUAACUGUUCACCCCUUGACGGUAUCUAACCAGAAAGCCACGGCUAACUACGUGUCAG